UGGAAGAGUAAAUUUUUAAACUAUAAUUAUUAAUAGUUAAUAUCUUUAAAAUUAAAGAUUUUGGCGGUAUUUUAGUCUUUUCAGAGGAACCUGUUUAUUAAUCGAUAGUCCACGAUUUAUUUUACUUUAGUUUUAAAUUUACAUAUCGUUGUAAAAUAAAUAUUUUUAUAGGAUUUAAAUGUUUGAGAUUUAUUAUUAUAUAUUAAUUCAGAUCAAGGUGUAGUUUAUAUUAAAGUUUAAAUGGGUUACAUUAUAUUUAUAUUUGGUUUNUAUAACUGAAAAUUAUUAAAUAAAUUGGAUUUGAGAGUAACUUUUAUAUUUAUAUAAAGUGAUUUAGCUCUAAAAUAUGC
Molecule: ribosomal RNA, 350 nt
Filed under: Philolithus sordidus
Lineage: Eukaryota; Metazoa; Arthropoda; Insecta; Coleoptera; Tenebrionidae
Description: partial small subunit ribosomal RNA
Source: RNAcentral